CCUACGGGUGGCUGCAGUGGGGAAUAUUGCACAAUGGGGGAAACCCUGAUGCAGCAACGCCGCGUGAGUGAAGAAGUAUUUCGGUAUGUAAAGCUCUAUCAGCAGGGAAGAAGCUGACGGUACCUGAGUAAGAAGCCCCGGCUAACUACGUGCCAGCAGCCGCGGUACUACGUAGGGGGCACGCGUUAUCCGGAGUUACUGGUUGUAAAGGGAGCGUAGACGGUGAGACAAAUCUGAAGUGAAAACCCCGGGCUCAACCCCGGGCCUGCUUUGGAAACUGCCUGACUGGAGUGCUGGAGAGGCAAGCGGAAUUCCUAGUGUAGCGGUGAAAUGCGUAGAUAUUAGGAAGAACACCAGUGGCGAAGGCGGCUUGCUGGACAGUAACUGACGUUGAGGCUCGAAAGCGUGGGGAGCAAACAGGAUUAGAGACCCUGGUAGUC
This 440-nucleotide ribosomal RNA is filed under the name uncultured bacterium. RNAcentral describes it as "partial 16S ribosomal RNA". It matches the Rfam family "Bacterial small subunit ribosomal RNA", at positions 338 to 795 of the family's 1533-position model. The record is from RNAcentral.